This 490-nucleotide ribosomal RNA is filed under the name uncultured bacterium. RNAcentral's name for it is "partial 16S ribosomal RNA". It matches the Rfam family "Bacterial small subunit ribosomal RNA", at positions 30 to 507 of the family's 1533-position model. The record is from RNAcentral.
AUUGAACGCUGGCGGCAGGCCUAACACAUGCAAGUCGAACGGUAACAGGAAGAAGCUUGCUUCUUUGCUGACGAGUGGCGGACGGGUGAGUAAUGUCUGGGAAACUGCCUGAUGGAGGGGGAUAACUACUGGAAACGGUAGCUAAUACCGCAUAACGUCGCAAGACCAAAGAGGGGGACCUUCGGGCCUCUUGCCAUCGGAUGUGCCCAGAUGGGAUUAGCUAGUAGGUGGGGUAACGGCUCACCUAGGCGACGAUCCCUAGCUGGUCUGAGAGGGUGACCAGCCACACUGGAACUGAGACACGGUCCAGACUCCUACGGGAGGCAGCAGUGGGGAAUAUUGCACAAUGGGCGCAAGCCUGAUGCAGCCAUGCCGCGUGUAUGAAGAAGGCCUUCGGGUUGUAAAGUACUUUCAGCGGGGAGGAAGGGAGUAAAGUUAAUACCUUUGCUCAUUGACGUUACCCACAGAAGAAGCACCGGCUAACUCCGUG